GGUGGCUCCUGGGGAGCUCUGGGUAGAGUUUAGAGCCAGUAAGUUAAGUCUCUGGCUGGCAAGGGUUGCAGGGGAAGCUAAAAUGUUACACUGUAGACAAAUGUUUACGCUUGCUCGUUGGAAAAGUAGAAAAUACCUGGCAGAGAACUAAGACCACCACAAGGCCUCACGUACCCAAGUUGUCUGGAAGUAUCUCUAUGCAGAAGGAAUAUUGUCCCGGUAAAGGGACAGCCUUAAAAGUAACUGUGGCUCAUCAUCCUGGAAGGAUCGACUCUCCGCUGCUAAGAGGCUUCGGUCAAGACUCUGAGAUCCCGCUGAGAUGGCUCAGAGGUAAAGAGCACUGGCUGCUCUUUCAGAGGAGUUGGAUCCGAUUCCCAGCACCCGCAUGGUAGCUCCCGACCAACUAUAACUCCAGUUCCAGACAGGGGUAUCUUGUAGCCAUCCAGCGGCCACAUGAAGCUGCUGUCCAGCUGUGGAAAUGUCACCACACCAAGGGACCCUGACACAUUACCAGAUUCCCAUCUCACCGCAUGAUUCAGCCUCACCAAGACACUAGACACACACAGUGCUUCUACCAAGGGUGUUCUGGAAGCAAUUUGGUCACCCGCCAAAGUGAUGACCAAGAUCUCCCUGUUUAGACAUCAAAGCAAUGACAACAGCAGUGUUUAACACAGGUUGGGCACCUAGCAAUUUCUUGGUCAUACAUUAAAUGAAAUAUGUUGCAAAGC
Mastomys coucha (southern multimammate mouse) is the source of this 728-nucleotide long non-coding RNA. RefSeq lists it as uncharacterized. Lineage: Eukaryota; Metazoa; Chordata; Mammalia; Rodentia; Muridae. The record is from RefSeq and is a predicted model, not a curated record. The transcript has 2 exons.